RNAcentral lists this non-coding RNA (115 nucleotides) under Paenibacillus selenitireducens. Its description in RNAcentral is "SAM-I sequence". It matches the Rfam family "SAM riboswitch aptamer (S box leader)". From Rfam's summary of the family: The SAM riboswitch is found upstream of a number of genes which code for proteins involved in methionine or cysteine biosynthesis in Gram-positive bacteria. The SAM riboswitch acts at the level of transcription termination control. Lineage: Bacteria; Bacillati; Bacillota; Bacilli; Caryophanales; Paenibacillaceae. The record is from Rfam by way of RNAcentral.
UUCUUAUCAAGAGUAGGUGGAGGGACCAGCCCGAUGAUACCCGGCAACCGACUGAAAAGCACGGUGCUAAUUCUUGCGGAAGCGAUUAUUCGUAAUCAAUUCUGAGAGAUGAGAG